Molecule: ribosomal RNA, 65 nt
Filed under: Paenacidovorax caeni
Lineage: Bacteria; Pseudomonadati; Pseudomonadota; Betaproteobacteria; Burkholderiales; Comamonadaceae
Description: Acidovorax caeni 23S rRNA. Bacterial LSU
Source: RNAcentral
UGGGUGUGGAAGCGCAGUAAUGCGUUAAGCUAACCAGUACUAAUUGCUCGUGCGGCUUGACCCUA